Molecule: small nucleolar RNA, 95 nt
Filed under: Metschnikowia bicuspidata var. bicuspidata NRRL YB-4993
Lineage: Eukaryota; Fungi; Ascomycota; Pichiomycetes; Serinales; Metschnikowiaceae
Source: RNAcentral
ACAACGAAGAUUAUUUGCACUAUACCAAUUGUUCCAACUGAAUUCUCCGGGUUGACAAAUGCAUUAUCGUUAAGUUUCAGCCUUGUAUGAGUUGU